UCGGGAAUUUUGGGCAAUGGGGGAAACCCUGACCCAGCAACGCCGCGUGAAGGAUGAAGUAUUUCGGUAUGUAAACUUCGAAAGAAUAGGAAGAAUAAAUGACGGUACUAUUUGUAAGGUCCGGCUAACUACGUGCCAGCAGCCGCGGUAAUACGUAGGGACCAAGCGUUGUUCGGAUUUACUGGGCGUAAAGGGCGCGUAGGCGGUGUGUCAAGUCAGUUGUGAAAUCUCCGAGCUUAACUCGGAACGGUCAACUGAUACUGUCACACUAGAGUACAGAAGGGGCAAUCGGAAUUCUUGGUGUAGCGGUGAAAUGCGUAGAUAUCAAGAGGAACACCUGAGGCGAAGGCGGGUUGCUGGGCUGAUACUGACGCUGAGGCGCGAAAGCUAGGGUAGCAAA
This 400-nucleotide ribosomal RNA is filed under the name uncultured bacterium. Its description in RNAcentral is "bacterial SSU rRNA". It matches the Rfam family "Bacterial small subunit ribosomal RNA", at positions 355 to 772 of the family's 1533-position model. The record is from RNAcentral.